AGCUACAAUUAAUGAACCUAACAAAUAGCUUAUUUGUUAGUACCCUAAUAUGUGGAAAUUAGGUUAACUUGCUUAACCUUAUUUUUAGGAAAUACAAGUACAAGGCCCAAAUGCUGCAAUAUAAAAGGAUGGCAAUCCUUCUUUCAGAACUAGGGGUUUUAGGCGUGAAGAUUUUAUUGUUCAAUCAUACUUCACUGCUGUAUUUUUGGUUGUGUCUUGUAUUAGGUUUAUCUUGUAAGCCAAGCAAUUAUCACUUAGAUGAUUGCAUUGGACUAGGGUGUUCAU
Molecule: long non-coding RNA, 285 nt
Filed under: Lathyrus oleraceus (garden pea)
Lineage: Eukaryota; Viridiplantae; Streptophyta; Magnoliopsida; Fabales; Fabaceae
Description: Pisum sativum (pea) long non-coding RNA (PSAT_LNC035241)
Source: RNAcentral